AUGCCGAGAUUACAGGCAACAGCACCGGCAGGCCUCGGUCUACCUGGUAGGAAGCGCUGCGGGGAGUCUCAGCAGAGCGAUGGUCAUCCUUCACCUCCCAAAGCCUUAAGGCGCUCCGGGCACUGCAGCAGUUUAUGCAGCAGUUUCACUCCCAAAUCGCCAGGUUUUCCAGGGCGCGAGGGGGACCCUGGGGAGCAGGCUGGCUGGGAGCACUACUACCAGGAGGGCGAGGGUGAUGGUGAGGGGUGCAGCCUCUCCUCUCCGGGGGACUCCAUAGCCUCCCUACUUCCGGGAGGGCUGCCCACGGCUGAAGGACUACAAGGGACGAGGACGAAGACGAGGACAGGGACGGCGCCCGGCGGCUACCGGGGCCCACGUACCAGAUCUCAGCCACACUUCCCGGCUGCAGCUAGGCCUCCAGCGCACUUCCGGCAUAGAAGUUGCUAAGAAGCCAAACUGGAAUCCGGUUUUAUGGCUUCUCGCGGAGCCCUGUUUUCACCCCAAAUUGCUGAACUUCCUUCAGGAGAGCUGCAUCACCCGACCUCUAUGGAAGAGACAUAGGCUUUGGAAGACCCCAGAUUCCCGAGUACCAACCGUGGACUCUGCAUAAGGGUUCUCAGUCUAUUUGGAGGACAGGAUGCCUGUUUAGGGUUUUGUAUAGAGCCUGUGUUUCCAAGACUCUUAAGUUGUACUUGUGCAGUACAGCGGCUGAAAGAGAGGUGAGGCCGCUGUGAACCGUGAGAGGGGCUAAAUGUCAAGUCAUCCUUGCUUCCCUUGGUGCCACCCGGUAGUUUUGAGCGCAGCCUGUCAGUGCAGCGGAUGCAGAGGCCGGUCUAGGGUAGGCAGACUGCGUGAGCAUCCCUUGGGGAAAGGUGGAGGCCACAAAUCCACACCUCCACAAAAUGGUACUAUCAAAGCAUCACUGCCAGCCAACUUUCUCAGAAAAAUUUCCUGCUCCCCAUCCAGUAGAGUACGUGCACUAUUGGAGGCCUGGGCUUUGCAGCCGCUUUUUUUUGUUUGUUUAAUUAGUAUUGUUUGCUGUACAUAAUUAUACAUUCAUCGUGAGUAGUUGGUACAGUUUCAUAACACAUUUUAAUUCUUUUUUCAUCCUUUCCCCCUCCUCUUCCAC
RNAcentral lists this long non-coding RNA (1129 nucleotides) under Cavia porcellus (domestic guinea pig). Its description in RNAcentral is "lncRNA (ENSCPOG00000038862.1)". Lineage: Eukaryota; Metazoa; Chordata; Mammalia; Rodentia; Caviidae. The record is from RNAcentral.